This 24-nucleotide non-coding RNA is filed under the name Arabidopsis thaliana (thale cress). The record is from RNAcentral. Lineage: Eukaryota; Viridiplantae; Streptophyta; Magnoliopsida; Brassicales; Brassicaceae.
UUCCCAAAUGUGUGCUUUGUCGCC